UGCAGGCCGCCCUCAGCCCAACCCUGCGGCGCUCGGGGCUUCAGCGGGAUCUCCAGAGCAGAUUUAGAAUAUGGAGGAAAGCUGGGACUAGAACAGGCUUCCAAAAAAAGUUGCGGUACCCCUCCAAGCACGACUGGAAAAGCAGCUAUCCUAAGUGAAGGGAUGUGGUGGAGGAGAGGCUCAGCACUGAGGCUGCCUGAGCCUGGCACACUGGCUGCGUCCAGCUUUUGCAGGAGAAGGGAAAUGGCCGUGUGACUGCAUCACAGCAUUACCUGUGUCUGCACUUACCUGCCUGAAACUAUUCUGACUGACUGCCUUAAACCAAAGGAGGCUGGCGAGACACAGGAAAGAGAAGGAAAUGAAACUACGAUGGUGAUAAAGCCUACUAAUACCAACAUUCCUUCAGGGGGAUCGGUGGAGAGCGAGGCACUGGAAUAAAUGCUGCCUGCCUGCUGCCAGAAGGGUGACAAGCUGUUUUACCAAGGCCAGCAACGAAUACAAAAGGAUAUUAAAAAGAUAUUAAACCCUCCCCCAGCACAGAUGAAAGGGCUGGGGACUGGGGGUAUGGAAAAGAGCUCAGAGCAGCUUCUUAAGAAGAAACAUUACUGGACUUGCAGCUGCACCUGGGUGUCCCAGCAGGGGAUUUCAGGGGCUUGUCUAAGCUGCUGAAAAGGUGAAAAAGGGGAAGACCCAAGCACCAACACCUCCCUCAGGCUCAGGCUUGUCUCCUGGUUUGUGGCAGGUUUCUGGCUGUACUGCCAACUAUUCUGCCCCAAAGGGAGAGUUUCAGCUGCCCACUACAGGCUGUUUGGAGGGGAAGGGAUUGGCAGGCAAUGUUCAAAGACAGCAGUCCUGUUUAAAUGCCAACACUGGGAGUAGGGUGGGCGAGACAGGCAGGGGGUGCCAGCCCAGUCACAGGGCAGUGAACAUAGCAGCAGCCCUCAUCUCCUGAGCUUGUGCCCUGGGAGAAAUGUCAAAGCUGGAUUGGGGAGGGACACUGCUCCCUUACCUGGAAUGAUGUCUGGCAUUUUUUUCCCCCUCCAGACAUCCUUUACUAGACAAGUCACUACCACCUUUCCCAACAAACCUCAUCUCAUUUGUAAUCCUUAGGCUGCCAUGGCCACAGCAUCACUGCUGCAGCAUCACUGCAGUACCUGUGUACAAGGGGCAGGUGGCCCUGGGAGAGGCCACAGGGGGAGAGCAAGCCCAGGUGCACCACAGGCUGGAGCUGUCUGCCCACUGAAACUGCCCAGGCGGCUGUUACUGAAAUUUAAUUUGCCUGGUGCAUUCCAUGGACAUUUUAAUCAGCAUUUCCUACAAUCUACUUGGCAAAGAGGCUCGAUUGGCAGCUGCCUGACUGAAUGGGCUUUGCACCCAGUCUAACCUUCUCCAUUUGCAAUUUCCAGUGCUGGAAAACCUCUCUGUCUCACUUUCAGAAGUUUCUAUAGCAAUCACAACUAUCCUAGUGAAGCACUGGAAAUGGCAGCCCAUUCAGAUUGUAAUUUUUCUGGACAGUGAUUGCUUCUCUCUCCACUGGCCCCUGAAAUGUUACUUUUUGGGAGACAUCAACUGCAACUGGAGAACACUGGUCCUCUGCCUGUGUUUCCAACCAACUUUGCUCCCCCUGCCCCCGUGAGGAACUUUGUUAACUGCUUACAGUGUGUGAACCUCAAUUAGCAAGGAAGUGUUGCUGGGCACAUCAUACCUCAGCUACAGGAAAGACCUGACAUGAGUGAUGCUCUUAACAGGCCUGCAGGAACAAACCUCACCACCCAGCACAUCAUGUUGUGACCUGAACAUUAUCCAUCACUGCAUGUAGAAAAAGUUACACAAGUGUGUUUGCCUUUGCUAAUUGUAAAAAACCAGAGCACUCAAAGCUUUUUUCUUCAUGUCAAUGAGCUUACUUUUCCUGGUUUGGUUGACUUCAGCUUAAACAAUCACUUGAUCUUUUGUUCCAUGCUUCAUUUUUCAGUGGUUGUGAUUGCUCUUAAUUACUGUGACACUGAAGAACCAUGUGCUAAAAAUACAUUAAGUAACUUCUUGCAAUAAGAAAAUGUGGUAGAAUUAUCCCACCGCUUGUGAAGAAAUCAGUUAACCAUUUCUUAAGCUCUUGUAAUAAUCUUCCCCUAUACUUUUACGGCUAUUGUUGCCUGCUGGAAAAAAAUAGCUUAAAGCUGAGUAAGGGGAAUUGUGGAUAAGUGUUUGCAAUUUGGCUUUGGACUGACAGAGUGUGGUUGCACUCAGAGAAUUUGAAGUCUUUGCACUGGCAGCAGUACUCAAAUCUGGAAAUAUAGGAUUCACAUUGGAAAAGAGUGGAUUUUUAUAACGAUUUAAAUGAACAAUUUCAGCUAGAGAGUGGAUUAACAGAGCCAACUAAACCCUUCACCCUGACAAAGAACUGGCGGGAGGACUAUAGAAACACAUCCAAAAUUUUACCAACAUGAAUGCAGAGUACUAGGUCAGUGAGAAGCAUUUCUGUAUUUUAAUGGCUCUCUUAGAAAUCAAUUCAAUUUAAAACAAAAGUUGUUUUACAAAUAUGUGGAGCAUGCAGAAGGCUGGAGAGGGAGCAAGUGGCCUGCAUCCUCCAUCUGCUCUAUCCUCUCUCUCCUCUCGCACUAGGAACUGCUACUGCAAGUCCCCCUUCUGGGCAGACAGAGGCAAAAGCAGGCAGUGCCCCAAAGCCAAGCGUCAGAAAUGUCUCCCUUUCUGCAGAUGUGUGGGUGUAUCCCCAGACCCCACACCCUGUCUUUCCUGUAUGCCAGAGCUCUUGAGGCCCAAAGCCAAGCAGCAGGAAACUCUAAGCCCAGGGGUCUUGGGGAAGCUGAGACACAAAAACCUGUGCUUCUCCAUCAGAAAUGAGGUUACAGAACAAGAGAAUAUUAAGUAUUCCAUGAUGAGGAGCAAUCCACUGACAAGAGAUGGACAUGUUGGGGAUUGCUCAUCUCUGAGAGGAAAUGGAUCAGUGUGACACAAGAGAAGCAACAAAGGCAGAUUGGCAAAACCUGUUCUUGAAGAAUUUCAGAAGAGGCAGAAAAGCUAAGGGACUUUUUUUGAGCAAAAUUUCUUAUUAAGCCCCACCAGCUUACUGCUGCAGGAUGUUUAAAGGAAAAACCAGGAUCUUAAAUUGAUCUGGAGAAGGGUCCAAUGUUUCCAUGAGUGACAAGGCAUGCAACCAUUGUUGAUGGUACAGAUUCACAAACCUGUGUGAAUCUGUAAUGGGAGAGUAAGACAUCCCAUUCUCAGUGCUCUUCUCAAACACUGGAUACCACAAUGCUGCAAGCAAGAUACUGGAGCAAGUUUGUUGCUUGACUUCCAAUUACAAUAUCCCUCUUCAAGAAAUGGGAAAAUAUAAUGUUUGCAGUAAAAGAUAGAGAAAUAGGCUCAAGGUUUAACCUUUCCUAAAAAUUUUACACUCCUGGUUUCUCAAGUCCUAACUGUGAAACACUGCUUGCCAUCUGCCAGAACUGGCACCCAUGGAGAAGUGCCGUGCUGCAGCAGCGCUCUCCCAUUCUCAGCACUCAGAGGUGCUCCUUCAGGGCACUUACACUGGGGAGCUGCAGUGAUCCUCAGACGCCCCCAGUGUGGGGGUUCUCUGCCAGCCUACAUGUUAACUAACUGCUUCCCCAGGCAAUUUUCCAAGCUGGGCAAAACCUGUAACAACUAACCAUGGAACUAAUUGGCUGACAGCAAAAGCCCAUCUUGAACAGUAAGAAUUCCAAAUUACAGUGGGGGGGGAAGCACUUUAAUUGUGGCUUGCAUACAGCUAUUUUGUCUCACCUUCAAGUUGUUGGAGGAAAGAGCCAGAGGUUGAAAAAAGGGUUCCAAGCCCAAAAAUUAGGGCUGCUGGCAGCAGUAACAGAGGCAGACAAGUCUAAACUACUUCUGAAUGAGGACCUCUCUGACAAGCCCCGGAUAUUCCAACCCAAAAGCUGAACCAUGUGUAGGGCAAUGGCUACAGCUUGCACAGGCAACCACAUGCCCAGAAACUGGCAGUACUGCCAGUCCAGGUUUGCCCCCUGGAUACUGAGAUUCAAGAGAAAAACAAGCACACUAAGUCAUGAAGAUCAAAGGGCUGGAGCACCUCUCCUAUGGAGGCUGAGAGAGGUGAGGUUGUUCAGCCUAGAGAAGGCUCCAGGGAGACCUUACAGCACCUUCCAGUACCUAAAGGGCGUUGCAAGAGACCUGGAAGGGGACUUUUUACAAGGGUAGUAACAGGACAAAGGGCUUUUAACUGAAAAGAGGGAGGGCUUAGAGUGGCUACUAGGAAUAAAUUCUUUACUGUGAGGGUGGUGAGGUGCUGGAACAGGUUUCCCAGAUCAGCUGUGGAUGCCCCAUCCCUGGCAGUGUUCCCAGACAGGCUGGAUAAGGCCUUGAGUAACCCGGUCUAGUGGGAGGUGUCCCUGCCCAUGGCAAGGGAGGUUGGGAUUAGAUGAUCUUAAAGGUCCAUUCCAACCCCUUAACAGUCUAUUAUUUUAAGUAACAGUGGGUCUGUCUAUCCAGAACACAUAUCUAAAACCAGCAUGAAUAAGUGACAAGUUUAUAAAAUCUGGAUUUAUUAAUUUUUAUUACAAGAUAAAUUCUUCACAAAUGACAGAUAGAUUUGACAGUGUUCAGUCUGUAAUAUAUUAGAUUCAAAAUGACAUAUUUUAAAAAAUAUUUUCUGUAUACAAGGAAAAUCCCAACAGAAUUUACAAAGCCACUGUAUUUCGCAUCUAUAGAAUCUGAGAUUGUUAUAAAUCUUAUGGGAAAUCUGUUAUUACAAGUAAAAUAAAAACCACACAAAUUGUUUACAAUUUUAAUCUCAAAUCUCUUUUUUUCCUUUAAAUAAAUUCUUAAAAUAGAUGCAUUAUUUAAAACAAAAUCACUACCACGAGGCACGUGGUGUUCAGUGGAUGACAUUAAUUCUGUAACCCAAACAAGAAGACUAAUCCACUCUGAGUAGCUAAAUUAAUUUUUUGCAGUAUUUACAUACUUUACUGAAGUAUUUUCAUCCCAGAGUCUCAGCAAGCAUCUUAGAAUAUUAAUGAGAAAAGCCUGGCAGCAUGCCAGAGUUAAAAAGUAAGAAAGUAACAUCAUUCCCAUUUUUUCAACAGGGAAACUGAGGCACCAGGUGUAUUCAGACCCAGGCAAUUGCAGAAAGAAAAAUCCCAAUCUUAAUUCUGUUAGCUAUGUCUUGAUAGAGAGACUCUUCUUCCUCCUUGUUACAUGGCUGGUGACUGUGCUGGGCACUGUUUGAAACCUGGUCAGUUGCUUUUUUUCAUGCUUAGAUUGCUGCAAAAUAGGUGCCAUCUAUCCAGCUGUGGUGUCAUCACGAACACCUUUACUAAAAGAAAAGCCAUUAAUGGUUUUCCUCUUCAGAUUGAAAACCAGCAACAGCAAAAAGUGCAUCUUCAAUCCCUCUAAAGCCUCUGGAAGGCUGUCUUGUCCUACCCAAAAUACUGCAAUUGUUCCCUCAAUCAGCACAGAAACAAAUACUGAAAAUGGUAACUCUGAAAAACAGAAUUCCCUAUUUAUUAUUUUAAAAAAAAAGUUAAAUUUUUGGGUAUUGUGAACAUUCUUUGGUCAAUUAAGUAUUUGAAAGAAGUUAGUUGUGAGAUUCUCAGCCAGGAUGUGAACUUUAGAAAACACGAAGUGUUUCACAUGGUCCAUAAUCCCCAGGAUUUUAAUAAAUAACACAUCAAUAAAGGUCACUUGAAAAGACCUUUAAAAAUAACUUGUCAAUAAUGUUUCCUAAAUGACUAAAAGAAAUAAAAACUUGAUGCAGAUCUGAGAUGACAUGAAUUCACAAAUUAAGAAAACCCUAAAAAGCCAGGACUUAAUCUCUGGACAGAAGUAUCCACCACAAGCAUCCAGCAUCCAUCCAGCAAUUUUUAAGGCUAUUAUGGAGGGGCAUAAUUUAGUCAAAGGCAUCUCACCAUUUACGUUUUGGCAAAUAAAACAUCUUCAUGUGGGAACAAAGUCAUGUGG
Long non-coding RNA from Cyanistes caeruleus (blue tit), 5967 nucleotides. RefSeq lists it as uncharacterized. NCBI's taxonomy places the organism in Eukaryota, Metazoa, Chordata, Aves, Passeriformes, Paridae. The record is from RefSeq and is a predicted model, not a curated record.